AACGGUCUCGCAUUCCCUCCAUCGGCUCUCUCAAUCUAAUCUCCAAUUCCUCCUGGGAUUUCCACUCAGACCGCUUUCUUCCUGUAUGUAUAUCUAUUUUCUCCCUUGUUUUUAUAUUUUUGUGUAUGUAUAUGAAUGUAAUCAUUUUUGUUAAUAGUUACCUGCUAAUAAUAUUGGCAAAACAAUACAAAGAAAAAACACAAACUUUAGUGGAAUGCGAGUCAAUUUUAUUUAGAAUUGUCAUACAAAUACAUCACAACAAAGGACACACUCUCAACUAUUCACUUUAUGCCCUAUAAAACCUAGCUAUGCCUUGAGUCUUUCCAUUUGUGAAAUAAUGCACAAGUCACGUUCUUUAUUCAUAAUAGAAAGACAUACUACCUCAAUGGGAUCACAAAUUAAUGUUGGAAAUUAAGCAGAGACUAUAAAAAAUUUGUUCCAAUUAUACAUUUGUAUGUCCCCACAAAUUCAAAAAGUAACUAGGGAGUAGAGUCUUUGUAUAUGUGCACUUUGUGGUAAAUUAGUAUUUAUAACCUAUUUUACAUUUCGUUUGUGUAAUUUUAGACAUCCUAUUGAGGCCAAAAUGCUAGGGAGUAGAGUCUUUGUAUAUGUGCACUUUGUGGUAAAUUAGUAUUUAUAACCUAUUUUACAUUUCGUUUGUGUAAUUUUAGACAUCCUAUUGAGGCCAAAAUGCUAGGGAGUAGAGUCUUUGUAUAUGGCUUUGAUGGAAGCUCUCCAGGUAUCAAUAGUAACUCAAAGCUCUUAUAUGUUCCUCUACUUCACCUAAAAUGCACACUCAUGCUUAAUGCUAUACAAAAAUAUUGCAGUCAGUUAUGGAUUUUUACUUAGUGCUUGGAAAAGACUAAUAGAAAGACAAGUAAAGAUAGACUAGUCAUGUAUUUGCUUCUUGUGGAAUUAUUCACAGUAGUGAUGCAUUGCAGGGAUGCUGCCUUCGUUUGCAAUAGGGUCAGAAGAAACCAAGGCAUCUGCAAGGCAUUGUACUGUUGGCAUUGAACCUAGAAUUUCCAAUGAACGAAUCAUACUUCUUGAUACCCAGGUCUCCUAUCACCGGUUAUUCCUUCAUAUUCUGCCUUUUUCUUAAAUUCCAAAAAAUUGACAUCUUAUCUUUGAGAUUCCAAUUUUCUUUGUGAAAGUGGAUAUUUGACCCCUCAACAUAAUAUAUGAAUUUUCCUGGCACAAGAUUAUUACUUAUUGCUAGUUCACUUUGUAUAUUUUACUAGCUAUAUGCAGAUUCCAGAUUUCGUCUGUCAUUUACAUAAAAGCUUAAUAGGGGGUUAAAUGUCAUUUUCAUAUCUUAAUGUUGAGAUUGUAAUUCUUCUUUAACAUGACCAGCUAUAUGUGUUUAUGCAUCUCUUCACUCUUUUUAUCCUUUUUUUUUUUCCACAAGUGUGCACUCUAAUACACAUUCAAAAUGCAUACAAAAAUCAGAAAAUAAUCAAACAAAUAGCUGAUAGGGAAUUAAGUAUUCCAAAAACUUUGCCUUCUCUCUUCCCAUUCAUAUUUAUAAGUUAGUUCGUAUGAAACUAUCUUGGUGCAUAAAUAAACAAAAUUCCAACUUACAUUCUUCUACAGAAACAUUGGAAACACAACAAGAGACCUUUGCCAGCCGCUCCCAUGAUUUAAUGGGCACAUCAUCCAUACCCAAAAUCAAAAAGUACUUCUUUUCAAGUUCCAACUCCGUUGUUGUGUACUUCUUAGUCUAAAGUUAGCCAGAUUCUAGUGUCAUCUAUUUAUCAUACUCGAAGUUCGAGCAUAUAAACAGGUGUUUGACUUUAAUGGUUUUGUCGCUUGAAUUCGCAUAAUAGGUUGAACAGCUGACGUCUUUCUAUCAUACUCGAAGUUCGAGCAUAUAAACAGGUGUUUCUUAUCUCAUGUCACGAAUCUAAACAAAAAUACGUCAGUUUUGAAUGAUAUUUCUAUUGUUAAUGAAUUUUCUGACGUAUUCCCUGAAGAACUUUUUGGCCUACCCCCAGAGCGUGAAAUUGAAUUUUGUAUCGACCUUGAACCUGGUACAAAACCUAUUUCUAAAGCCCAAUAUCGAAUGACUCCUAUUGAACUUCAGGAGUUAAAGACCCAACUGCAGGAAUUGUUAGACAUUGACUUUAUUCGUCCUAGUACUUCUCUUUGGGGUGCUCCUUUUCUAUUCGUGAAGAAGAAAGAUGGGACUAUGCGACUUUGUAUUGAUUAUCGGGAGUUGAAUCAUGUCACCAUCAAAAAUAGGUACCCAUUGCCACGUAUUGAUAACCUGUUUGACCAGUUGCAAGGAGCCAAAUUCUUUUCAAAGAUUGAUCUUCGUUCCGGAUAUCACCAAUUGAAGAUUAGAACUGAUGACAUUCCAAAGACGGUUUUCAGAACUCGGUACGGGCAUUAUGAAUUCCUAGUCAUGUCGUUUGGAUUGACUAAUGCUCCUACUGCCUUCAUGGAUAUGGUGAACCGAAUAUUCAAAGAAUAUUUGGAUCACUUUGUGGUCGUCUUUAUUGAUGACAUCCUUAUUUAUUCCAAAAGCCGUUAAGAUCAUGAGCAACACUUGAGGCUGACACUCCAAAAGCUUCGUGAAUAUAAGCUUUAUGCCAAGUUGAAGAAAUGCGAGUUCUGGCUUGAGGAAGUAGCAUUCCUUGGGCACGUGGUAUCAAGUCAUGGAAUAUCUAUUGACCCAACAAAGAUUGAAGUUAUUUAAAGCUGGGAACAACCUAAAUCAGUGAGCGAAGUACGUAGCUUUUUCGGUUUAGUUGGUUAUUAUCGGAGAUUCGUGGGAGGAUUUUCUCGAAUCGCUACUCCAUUAACUCAGCUGACUCGAAAAGAUACGAAGUUCGGUUGGAGCGAAGAAUGUGAGAAGAGUUUUCAAGAACUCAAGAGGAGACUCAUUUCAGCACCUGUUCUGACAAUACCAUCUGGCUCAGAGGGAUUUGUCAUCUACAGUGAUGCUUCGGGCAAAGGGUUGUGAUGUGUUCUAAUGCAACAUGGGAAAGUCAUGGUCUAUGCCUCAAGACAACUCAAAGAAUAUGAGAGAAAUUAUCAUACACAUGAUCUAGAGUUGACAGCUGUUGUGUUCGCACUAAAGAUUUGGAGGCAUUACUUAUAUGGGGAGAAAGUGGAGAUCUUUACGGAUCAUAAAAGCCUCAAAUAUUUCUUCACUCAAAAGGAACUCAACAUGCGACAACGACGUUGGCUUGAACUGUUGAAAGAUUAUGAUCAUACCAUCCAAUACCAUCCUGGAAAAGCGAACGUGGUAGCUGACGCAUUGAGUAGAAGAUCAUAUGCAAGUACGAGUGCGAUAUUGUCAACGCAAAGGCCCAUUUUGUGUGACUUGCAAAGGAUGGAGAUAGAGUUAAAGACUCCAGGGACCCAUGUGAUGAUGGCGAAUAUACGAGUAGAACCGACUUUAAUUGAUAAAGUUAAAGCUGCUCAAGCUACAGACCUGGAGCUGAUGCGUAUGAGGAAGAAAGUGCAAGAAGGUGCUAUGCCGGAAGCAAGAAUCGAUGAAGAAGGAAUACUUCGAGUCAACUCCAGACUUUGUGUUCCUAACGACCCUGAUUUAAAGUAUAAAAUCAUGAUGGAGGCGCACAACACACCGUUUGCAAUCCAUCCUGGGAGUACCAAAAUGUAUCGUGAUCUUCGUCAUACAUUUUGGUGGAGCAAUAUGAAGAGAGAGAUAGCGCUGUUUAUCUCAAGGUGUCUAACUUGUCAACGAGUCAAGGCGGAGCAUCAAGUACCAAAAGGUCCAUUGCAACCACUUGAAAUUCCAGAAUGGAAGUGGGAGCACAUUACCAUGGAUUUCGUUACUGGUCUUCCCAAGGUUUCUCAAGGCAUAGAUGCGAUUUGGGUCAUUGUUGAUAGAUUGACCAAGUCUGCUCAUUUCUUACCGAUACGAGAAACUUAUACACUUGAACGUCUUGCUCGUAUGUACAUAAACGAGAUUGUAAGACUGCAUGGUAUGCCAGUAUCCAUAGUUUCUGAUCGAGACCCAAGAUUCACUUCACGAUUUUGGGUUAGUUUGCAAAAAGCUAUGGGCACAGAUUUACGAUUUAGCUCGGCAUAUCAUCCUCAGACGGACGGACAGUCGGAGAGGACUAUUCAAACUCUUGAAGAUCUAUUAAGACUCUGUGUCCUUGACUUCAAGGGAAGUUGGGACAAGUUCUUACCAUUGGUGGAGUUUUCCUACAACAACAGUUAUCAAGCAAGUAUUGGCAUGGCUCCAUUCGAAGCGUUGUAUGGAAGAAAGUGUCGUUCUCCAGUAUGCUGGGAUGAGGUGGGUGAAGCAACGUUGUUGGGACCGGAGUUGGUACGUAUGACUACGGAAAAGAUUCAAACGAUCCGACAACGUAUAAAAACCUCACAAGAUCGACAAAAGAGUUAUGCUGAUCUUCAUCGAAAGGACGUGGAAUUCGAUAUAGGAGAUCAUGUGUUGUUACGUGUUGCUCCAUGGAAAGGAGUUACGAGAUUUGGAAAGAGAGGAAAGCUCAAUCCUCGAUUCAUCGGCCCAUUUUUAAUCCUCGAUCGAGUAGGAACUGUGGCCUAUAGACUCGCUUUACCGCCAAGUAUGUCUCGUGUUCAUAACGUUUUUCACAUAUCCAUGUUACGUAAAUAUGUGGAAGACCCGAACCACAUUAUUGAGUUAGAACCGGACGAAAUAGCGGAAGAUUUGACGUAUGAAGAGGUUCCUGUUCAAAUCUUGGAUAAGAAGGAACAUAUUCUACGCUCCAAGGUUAUACCUCAAGUCAAAGUUUUGUGGAGAAACCACGAUGUUGAGGAAAUGACUUGGGAGUUAGAAUCUGAAAUGAAAUCAAGGUAUCCUUACCUCUUCGACAUACCAGGUACGUACCCUAAUUUCGAGGGCGAAAUUUCAUAAGAAGGGGAGGUUGUAAGACCCCAACUUUUAUGAAUAAAGAUGAAUUUUCUAUAAAUAUCAUUUUUGAAUAUUAUGGAGUGAAUUUGAUAUAAUGUUAUAGUUGUGGGUAAUAUUUAUAAAUUUUGCAAAGUACGCAAGUUGUUAUAUAAUAUUCGAUUGGUCGGGGAAUAUUCGUUUUAACAGGGAAUAUUCGUACAACGGCACAAUCAUUGGUGGACCCCACAACGGAAUUAUUGUCGGAUUGAGAAAACGACAAAAAUACUUUAUGAAAAUAACGGCGGAAGUUUUACCGUUAACUGUUGAAACACCCGGUGUUAAAAGUACAGUAAUACGCGUGGUUGCAUAGUAGCACACGGUAUUAAUUAUUGAUGCUUACGUGAUAAGUCACUCAGUUUUGUUGGUAUUAUUAAUGUAAUAAUACAGAAAAUCUUUUUAUAUAAAACAGAAUACUUUUAUAAAGUUAUUCUAUAAAUAGAAUAUAUUAUAUUCUAUUAUGCAUAGUGUUGCAUAGUGUCUGCAUAGUGUUUUGCAUAGUAAAAUCUUUUUAUAUAAAACAGAAUACUUUUAUAAAGUUAUCUGUUUUAUUAGACAAUAAUUAGAAUAUAUUAUAUUUUAUUAUGCAUAGUGUUUGCAUAGUGCAUGCAUAGUGUUUGCAUAGUAAAAUCUUUUAUAAAGUUAUUCGUUUUAUUAGAUUAUAAAUAGAAUAUAUUAUAUUUUAUUUAAAAGAUUUUUCUUUAAAUAUGGACCGUCAGAUUAAAGUAAAUCAAUCUGGACCGUUCAUGAGUUAGUUACUAUGCAGUCCAUUUUUCUAUAAAUAGAAGCUCAUUCCUUCAUUAUUUCUUACGAAUUCACUGAAACUCUAGAGAUAAACUAUAGAGAGAAAGAAGAAAAGUAUUCUUCUACUUCACUACUUAUAUAUAUCUAGUACUCUUCUUCUUAAAGUAGGGGGUAUUAUUUCUUUUGUAUUCAUGAAGAGAACUUCUGUUAUUCUAUUAUUUAUUAUUCUGUUGGAAUAACCUGUAUACGCGAACUUCUCUAUACUUGGUGAAAUUCUCCUGUUAUUCUAUUCUUUAUUAUUCUGUUGGAAUAUCCUGUCUGUGCAUUUUAUGCCGGACCUGGUUUCGUCUUUACUAUUUCGUUGGAACAUCCUGUCGGUGCGUAUUACGCCUGACUUGGUUAUGUUAUUUAGUAUUCUGUUGGAAUAACCUGUAUAUGCGAAGUACCGCAUGCAUGGUGAUUUUUGUUGUUAUUCUAUUCUUUAUUAUUCUGUUGGAACAUCAUGUCGGUGCAAAUUUCGCCUGACCUGGUUCUGUUAUUAUUAUUCUGUUGGAAUAACCUGUUUAUGCGAAGUAUCGCAUGCAUGGUGAUUUCUUUUGUUAUUCUAUUCUUUAUUAUAUUCAGUUGGUUAAAGUUUUGACUUCUAUACUCCAUGAAAUUAGUGGAAUAUCCUUGAUAUUUGCACUUCAUCCAGUAUCUUUUCAUGGAAAUAUUCUUUUGAGCAUUCUUGAAUUUUACUCUACAAAGAAGUAUCAUGUUGACAAUUUGGACGUUAUUAGUUCCUGAAUAACUUAAUUCUUGAACUUGUUUUAUUGAAUUCUUAUAUCGUUGUCAUCAUCCUCAUGUUUAUAUUUUUUUAAAGUUAUUUGUGGCCUAUAGUGCAUAGAUGGACUUGGUAUGAUUAUGACCAGGGAUUAUUCGGUGUAAUCAUGACCGUAAUAUUAUAAAUAAUGUGGUAAAAGUCCUCAUUGGCCCGUAGUGCAUUGAUGGACAGUUGUUAGCAUGAUCAUGACCAUUAAUGAAUACACAAAUAUUCUUGACCCGUAGUGCAUGAAUAAUUGUGGUCGUGAUACUAAAGAAUAUCCUUGGCCGUAGUGCAGGGGUAAUUCGAUGAUGUGAAUUAUUUAUUAAGCUGAGUCCCAGCGAUAAAAGUGAUAAUUAAUUAAACUCAUUUAAUUAAUUUGCCUCCUAAUCUUAUUCGGAAUUAAUGAGAGUACUAAUAUUAAUAUAAUUCUCAAACAACUUUAGAAAUUUAAAUAAUAAUAAUUUUUAUAAUAUUAAUAAGACUCUUCUUAUUAAUUAAUAUUUAAUAUUUUUAAAAUAUUAAAUAAUUAAUAUUAAGCUAUUUAAUUUAUUUUAUCACCAUAGAUUAAAUUAAAUACAUUUAACAUAUUAUUACGAUUAUGCCAUUAACUUCUUAAAUAAUUAUUCUUCCUUUUAUGGUGUGACCCUUUAGGUUCAUCAUAUUAAACCGGUUGUGAAUAAAUCAAUUAGAACAAUUCUAAUCUUAUUUAAAUAAAAUAAAUUAAACUAUUAAUUUAUUUAAAUAAAUAAUAUUUAUUCUACAAUAAGGAUAAGCCUCCUUAGCGAUCAACAACUUUUCAGAUAAUAUAGAUUUCAACAUUAAUCAUAAAAGAACCUUUGAGUAAAUAGUUAUCGUACAAUUCAAUCCUUCCACCAUACAAUGUCCAAAUUAAAUAUAAGACAUGAAAUUAAUGUCAACUCUUAUUUUAUUUAAUUAUAUGUAUUUUGAUUCCUAAAUGCACAACUCCUAAUAAAUGCAAAUUAGAAACUACUUCUAAUUUCAUUCCAUCUUAGCCAAGGAUUCAUGGAUUGUCAUUUAUCGAAUCACAUAUGACAUUUCUCUUCGAAGUGGUAGAUUUUUUAUUGAUCAUUCGUUAUCUCCAUAUAUAAUUUAUUACACUCAAGCAUACCCUUUAAUAUACCUCAAGGGUCUUAAGGAAUAAGUCAAAGUGUAAAUCAUUAUAUACAAGAUAGUAUGAUGAUCUCAAGUCUAAGGAUUACUUGUACUACUAUCACUACAUGAAUUCCUAUUGACAGACAAGUAAAACUCCAUUAGGCAUUCCUUAGCAAGUCACGUUUAGUGAACUUAUUCUCCAAUAAGCACAUACAUGUUAGAGUUUAUGCCCUAGAGGCCAAUUAUUUGAUAUAAUUGUUUAACGUUUUGAUAUUAUAUUUGAUUGAAUAAAUGAAUGAUUUUAUUAUGGUUUUAUUUACUGCGUUAUAUAAAUGUUAAUAUAAUAAAAAUUCUUAGAAUAUUGAUGCAAGUUAUAUAGUUUCAAGUAUGUGACUUGAACAUGAGAUUAUAUAAUUACAAUUAGUAUCAUUGUUCUUAAAUGUCCCUAGUCGAGUAUCAUUAUUGAUGAGACAACAAUGAUGCAUUAAGACUAGUAUGUGGAUUGACUGAUGACCAAAUAUCAUUGGUCAUAAAUAUAUGAUAUAUUAAGUCAAUGCAUAGGUACAUGUUAGAGAACGAUGUACUGGAAAGACCCACCAUGAGAAUUUUAUGUGGAGCAUUAUGCGAAGUGUCAUUAGCAAUUCUCAUAGUGACAAUGAUGUAAUGGUCCUCCGACCUGAAAUCACUAUAUUUCUACACGGAAAUUUAUGUACUUUGAUAUCAUCAAAUGACACCAUUAAUAGGGUGGACUAUAAAGGUGAUUAUUGGGUACAUCAUGAAUCGUGUGAGAAAUAUGAGUGAUCUAGAUGGAAUUUAACCAUCCUAUAUAUUAUGGGUGAUAUCCAUAGGCCUCUUGAUUGAGUAGGACUAUGAAAUGCAUGGCCAUGCUCAAAUAGUGAUUUGUUUCAUAUAGUCUACUCAUUGAUCAAGAAAACUCAGAUUAAAUUAUGAAGAGUAUGACACAUUCCAUGACUCGAGUUUAAUCUAGGAUAUUAAGGUUAAAAGGAUUAAAUUACAUUGAAACAUUGGUCACGAAAAGGUUGCAUCGAAUCAUCGAUCUUAUUAUUACUUGGGUAGCAGUGAUGCAUUACUAGAUGCCGCUCACUGUUUAUAAUUUUAUAAUAUGAUUUUAAAAUUAUUGCCAACGUAAUAAUAACCUAUAGGGUCACACACAUAGAACGUAAUUAAAAAGGGAAUUAAUUUAAAUUGUAAAGAUUUAAGUAUAUCAAUAUGAUUGAUAGUAUUUAAAUUACGAAUUUAAAUUAAUAGGAUAAUUUAUAUAUAGGUAUAUUAAUUAAGUAAGACUUAAUUAAGAUAUAUAUAUAUAUAUAUAUAUAUAUAUUCGGAUUUUAUUUUAAUGAGAUUAGGGUUUUGAUUAAUUCUGAUUUACUGCUAUAUAUAUGAUAUAUCAGCGUAUUAGGGAAGUUAAUCAUAACCUAAAACCCUAGCCGCUCUUAGAGAGAGACUAGAGAAAAUAGUUGCAAAAAUCCUCAUCCUUGGUGGCUAGUACCGCAAUUCCUUUUUACUGCAGAUCGUACGACGGUUCGCGGGGCGUUCGUGUGGAUACCAUAGAGACGUUGUUCCGUUGGAUUGCGUUGGAGAUUCAACCGCAUCGUUUCUAGCGUUCAUAAUCGGUAUAAUAUCUAAACCACUGAAUUAAUUUCUGUUUCGCAUGGAUUCUGUUUUGGGUUUUGGAAAUUGCUUUGAUUAUUUUAUAUUUUCGCUGCGUUUUUGUGCCGAAAACCCUACAGUGGUAUCAGAGCUACUUGCGAAAUGAUUAAUUCAGAUUACGUGUUUUAUUGCUUUCGAUAUAUAUGAUAUAUGAUGUUACAUUUUUACCGAUCUGAAAUUGAUUAUAUUGUUUUCGAUAUAUAUAUGAUAUAUGAUGAUAUAAUUUUAUCGAUCAGAAAUUGAAUAUAUAAUAUUCUGUAUGUAAACGUAUUCUGGUAUUAUGAAUAUCAGUGAUAGAUAUGAAUGUAUAUGAUGUUCUGUUAAUUGUAUCUUAUAUGGCGUAAUAACAGUAUACAACUUAUGUUCUAAUUGGAUUAGAAGUAUGAAGAUUCGGUUUAAUAUGAUUAAUUGACACUGGACAUAUAUGAUAUGUACCGGGUGUAUUGUUAUUAUGAUUAUUUUGGUGGAUUAAAUAUUUGAUUCUGAAACUGUUUCAGAGAUUCGUAUGGAAAAAUUAUGCAUUACAGAUUGUAGUUCAAAAAAAAUUUCCAGGGUGGAGACCCCCCCUUGGACCCCCCCGUCGUAGCGCACGAUGGUCGUGACCCCAAUUUGUUAUAUAUAGUUUUUCUUUAAUUAUUUAUAAAAUGUUAUGUGCUUAUUGUGACAUGCAUGGUGCACAGUUAUGGUUUUUGACCCAUAGGUUAGUGGUUUUUGGUUUUGAAAUACGACUUGCAUGUCGUGCCUUUCUAUAAAUUCUAAUGUAAUAUUCUCUUCUCAUCUAAAUCCCCUCGAAUGUAACUUGAGGUUUCUUUAUGUCAUGUAAUAAUUUGUAAUCGAUGAAGAUGACAAGAUGGAUAACACGAUGGAAAGAUGAUGAUGGAAAGGAGGCACAUGCAUCAUGAAGAUCCAAGGGAGCUACUAUUUUGAGAUCUUUUACAACCUUAGAUUGACCUUCAAUCUUUCAUUAGCUAGAAAAGAUUGACAGUGGAUUGGGCCAUAACUGUGACACAUUUAAUUUCGCACUUUAUUUAUGCUUGUAUGUGAUAUGAUAUGAUAAAUAAUGUGCAUGCUUAACAAGAUUAAAAUU
This 10323-nucleotide long non-coding RNA is filed under the name Panax ginseng (ginseng). Its description in RNAcentral is "long non-coding RNA (PGIN_LNC018513)". Lineage: Eukaryota; Viridiplantae; Streptophyta; Magnoliopsida; Apiales; Araliaceae. The record is from RNAcentral.